GACGAACCGAGCGACCGUUGUUCGGAAUCACUGGGCUUAAAAGGCGCGUAGGCGGGCUGCCAAGUUUGGGGUGAAAUCCUCCGGCUCAACCGGGGAAGUGCCUUGAAUACUGGCGGUCUGGAGGGAGGUAGGGGCGUGCGGAACUGUAGGUGGAGCGGUGAAAUGCGUUGAUAUCUACAGGAACUCCGGUGGCGAAGGCGGCACGCUGGACCUUUUCUGACGCUGAGGCGCGAAAGCCAGGGGAGCGAACGGG
Molecule: ribosomal RNA, 253 nt
Filed under: uncultured bacterium
Lineage: Bacteria
Description: partial 16S ribosomal RNA
Rfam family: Bacterial small subunit ribosomal RNA
Source: RNAcentral